ACGAUGACCACUUCGGUGGGGAUUAGUGGCGAACGGGUGAGUAACACGUGGGCAAUCUGCCCUGCACUCUGGGACAAGCCCUGGAAACGGGGUCUAAUACCGGAUACUGAUCCGUCUGGGCAUCCAGACGGUUCGAAAGCUCCGGCGGUGCAGGAUGAGCCCGCGGCCUAUCAGCUUGUUGGUGAGGUAGUGGCUCACCAAGGCGACGACGGGUAGCCGGCCUGAGAGGGCGACCGGCCACACUGGGACUGAGACACGGCCCAGACUCCUACGGGAGGCAGCAGUGGGGAAUAUUGCACAAUGGGCGAAAGCCUGAUGCAGCGACGCCGCGUGAGGGAUGACGGCCUUCGGGUUGUAAACCUCUUUCAGCAGGGAAGAAGCGAAAGUGACGGUACCUGCAGAAGAAGCGCCGGCUAACUACGUGCCAGCAGCCGCGGUAAUACGUAGGGCGCGAGCGUUGUCCGGAAUUAUUGGGCGUAAAGAGCUCGUAGGCGGCUUGUCACGUCGGUUG
This 511-nucleotide ribosomal RNA is filed under the name Streptomyces sp. PC4011. RNAcentral's name for it is "bacterial SSU rRNA". It matches the Rfam family "Bacterial small subunit ribosomal RNA", at positions 66 to 594 of the family's 1533-position model. Lineage: Bacteria; Bacillati; Actinomycetota; Actinomycetes; Kitasatosporales; Streptomycetaceae. The record is from RNAcentral.